AAAUAUCAAGAGAAGAAUAAUCCUUAGUUAUUGACGCCUUAAUCCACCCAGCACAAGUCCUUUGAAACCUAAAAUUAAGAAAUCAAAUUAGCAGCAAGGCUGGAAAAAAAAAUCGCUUACGAAGCAAUUCCUUAUCCCUAGUAAAUUGUUCAAUUAGAGAACGUUCAUGAUUGAAACCUUCCUUUAAUUAUCUCUGUGUCGACUUUGUUAAAGGAAUUUAAGAGAUUUAGAGGCUUCGCCUUGCUUUAACCAAAGAAAAUCCACCAGUGGUUUCUACGAUUAAAUCCGAAGUUGUUUUAAUUAGCUGCGACAAAUUAAUUAUCACUAAUUCUAAGCUUAAUUGAGAAAUUCGAUUUCUUAAUUUGCACUUAACUGAUUAUAAGAAAAAUUCCCAAAUUAAUUAGGUGAUCACUCCAAUUGAAUUAGAAAAAUUCCUUGGAAAAUAAAACCAAACAACUCAAGAGUGCCGAAUUUGAUUUGAUAACAAAAUAAUUUUUUUCAAAGAACUAGUGCCUGGUUUCAGAAGUGUCGAACGAAGCUUAACUAAACUAGCCUCUCAUAGCUAGCAAAACAGAACACGAAUCCAUUGAAAAGAGCAUGAAUUACAAACUGAUUCUUGGAAGGCAAAGUUCUUCAAGUCGUCUGAUUUCCCUUCUCAUAAUUAGCUGAAUUUUCUAGCUGCUACUCUAGCUCCUUGAUCGAAUUUGCUGGCCCAAUUUUUAGAAAAUUCUGCUUGCUUGAAUCACGCCUUUCCUAUGCUGCUGUUCUUUUUUCUGAAUUUUUUUCUCUUCUUCCCUUUUCUUCAGCUGCUAUCAUCUCUAUUUAUGGGAUAAUAACCUCCAAUCAAUUCAAAAAUUAAAAUCAAUCUUAUCCCCCUUUUCCUUAGCCUUACCCAUCGCAUGAAAAUAGCUUCAG
This 915-nucleotide long non-coding RNA is filed under the name Gossypium raimondii (Peruvian cotton). RNAcentral's name for it is "long non-coding RNA (GRAI_LNC004457)". Lineage: Eukaryota; Viridiplantae; Streptophyta; Magnoliopsida; Malvales; Malvaceae. The record is from RNAcentral.